This 1109-nucleotide ribosomal RNA is filed under the name uncultured organism. RNAcentral's name for it is "bacterial SSU rRNA". It matches the Rfam family "Bacterial small subunit ribosomal RNA", at positions 111 to 1190 of the family's 1533-position model. The record is from RNAcentral.
UAACACGUAAGGAAUCUGCCUCCAAAUCCGGAAUAGCUCUGCCAACGCGGAAUUAAUGCCGGAUGUGGUUGCAUGGUCGCAUGGCUAUGCAACUAAAGGUGACCUCUUCGUUUGAAAGUUACCGUUUGGAGAUGACCUUGCGGCCCAUUAGCUUGUUGGCGGGGUAACGGCCCACCAAGGCUGCGAUGGGUAGCCGGCCUGAGAGGGUGAUCGGCCACAUUGGGACUGAGAUACGGCCCAGACUCCUACGGGAGGCAGCAGUAGGGAAUUUUGCGCAAUGGACGAAAGUCUGACGCAGCAACGCCGCGUGAGCGAUGAAGGUCUUCGGAUCGUAAAGCUCUGUUGAGUGGGAAGAAACGUCUCGGGGUUAAUAUCUCCGAGGCCUGACGGUACCACUCGAGGAAGCUCCGGCCAACUACGUGCCAGCAGCCGCGGUAAUACGUAGGGAGCGAGCGUUGUUCGGAAUCACUGGGCGUAAAGGGAGUGCAGGCGGAAAGGUAAGUCAGAAGUGUAAUCUACGGGCUUAACCCGUAUCUCGCUUUUGAUACUGCUUUUCUUGAGUAGUGGAGAGGGAAACGGAAUUCCAGGUGUAGCGGUGGAAUGCGUAGAUAUCUGGAAGAACACCAGUAGCGAAGGCGGUUUCCUGGCCACAUACUGACGCUGAGGCUCGAAAGCGUGGGGAGCAAACAGGAUUAGAUACCCUGGUAGUCCACGCCGUAAACGAUGGGCACUAGAUAUCGGGGAAUUCGAUUUCUUCGGUGUCGCAGUUAACGCGAUAAGUGCCCCGCCUGGGGAGUACGCCCGCAAGGGUGAAACUCAAAGGAAUUGACGGGGGCCCGCACAAGCGGUGGAGCAUGCGCUUUAAUUCGAUGCAACGCGAAGAACCUUACCUGGGUUUGACAUGGGAGUGAAAGUUCCUAGAGAUAGGAACCUUUCCUUCGGGAACACUCCACACAGGUGCUGCAUGGUUGUCGUCAGCUCGUGUCGUGAGAUGUUGGGUUAAGUCCGCAACGAGCGCAACCCUCGCCGUUAGUUGCCAUCAGGUGAUGCUGGGAAGUUUAGGGGGACCGCCUCGAACAACCAGGAGGAAGGUGGGGAUGAUGUCAAAU